This 497-nucleotide ribosomal RNA is filed under the name uncultured bacterium. RNAcentral describes it as "partial 16S ribosomal RNA". It matches the Rfam family "Bacterial small subunit ribosomal RNA", at positions 28 to 507 of the family's 1533-position model. The record is from RNAcentral.
GAUGAACGCUGGCGGCGUGCCUAAUACAUGCAAGUCGAGCGAACGGACGAGAAGCUUGCUUCUCUGAUGUUAGCGGCGGACGGGUGAGUAACACGUGGAUAACCUACCUAUAAGACUGGGAUAACUUCGGGAAACCGUAGCUAAUACCGGAUAAUAUUUUGAACCGCAUGGUUCAAAAGUGAAAGACGGUCUUGCUGCCACUUAUAGAUGGAUCCGCGCUGCAUUAGCUAGUUGGUAAGGUAACAGCUUACCAAGGCAACGAUGCAUAGCCGACCUGAGAGGGUGAUCGGCCACACUGGAACUGAGACACGGUCCAGACUCCUACGGGAGGCAGCAGUAGGGAAUCUUCCGCAAUGGGCGAAAGCCUGACGGAGCAACGCCGCGUGAGUGAUGAAGGUCUUCGGAUCGUAAAACUCUGUUAUUAGGGAAGAACAUAUGUGUAAGUAACUGUGCACAUCUUGACGGUACCUAAUCAGAAAGCCACGGCUAACUACGUG